GUGCUGUCAAAACUUCACUUCAAACUCAUCAAGAUAAGCAAUACCUAAAUCAAAUUUUUGAUCUCAAUCAAAGCUUCCUUUCUCUUGUCCUCUAAUUCUAUUAUUUCAAGGAUGAUCAAGAACCUAAAUCAACCUCCUAUUUCAACCGUUAUAUGCCUGAAACAACCAAUGAACCGCCCAAUAUUCCAUGGCCCAAAACCCAUCUCACUCACAUAAUGUCUCUUCUCUACCAUGGACGUUGCUGCUGGAUGCUCCAGAAUCAGCAUCAUGCAGUUACAUUUUACCCAUAGUUUCUUCAUAAACGUUGUAGCCCUUAAAAAGUUAAUCAGUUUAGCCUCAAGAAUGACUCAAUUCGGAUAUGUGUGCUAGGAGAUAUGCCUUAUGUACUAUAGUCGUGUUGUGAUUCAAUGAACUACCACUAUAACUAUUGUUGUUGUCAUUUUGUGAGUUACUCCAACUCUUUUUCUCCUCAUUUCACUUGCUCCACUUUGUUUUGAAAGGGAAACUAAUUUUUGGUAUCAUUGAUUUAUGUGUAAUUAUAAGUUUUUCCCUUCACCUAUUAUUUAAAUAAACAAAUAUCAUAUUAUAUAUUUUGGCUAGAUUAAUUUAUUAAUUUUAUAUCAAUUAUGGUUUGUAAAAGAAUUUCUUGGAAAGAGAAUUUAGUUAAGAUUUCUAGUUUGAUUGGUUGAGUUUUUUUAUUUUAUUUUUUUUGACAUCGUAUAUUGGUUGAGUUAUUAAUUCUAGCUUAUUGUCAUCUGAAUGAGGUCAUUUAUUGGAGAAUUAUUCACGAGGUUCAAGUUAGAGAAUGGUGAUCAAGGAUUAUGGAUGAAAUAGAUAUGAUUGUUAUUUUUGAGUUAAUAAGGAAAUGAUCAGCAUUUAAGGUUGUGUGUAAGCUCAAGUGGGAUUCAAAUGGAGCUUGAUUGAAUUUAAUGGAUUGUAAAUUGUGUUAUAUAAACUAUGGUUUAUUUAUUUGAGAGAUUAGUUUAUAUAUUGUUGUAAGAUGUUUGUGAGUUAAUGAAUUAUACCUAUUCAUGUUUA
Molecule: long non-coding RNA, 1038 nt
Organism: Spinacia oleracea (spinach)
Lineage: Eukaryota; Viridiplantae; Streptophyta; Magnoliopsida; Caryophyllales; Amaranthaceae
Exons: 2
Source: RefSeq, a predicted model, not a curated record